This 406-nucleotide ribosomal RNA is filed under the name uncultured bacterium. Its description in RNAcentral is "partial 16S ribosomal RNA". It matches the Rfam family "Bacterial small subunit ribosomal RNA", at positions 28 to 526 of the family's 1533-position model. The record is from RNAcentral.
GAUGAACGCUAGCUACAGGCUUAACACAUGCAAGUCGAGGGACCGGCGCACGGGUGAGUAACACGUAUCCAACCUGCCCUUUACUCGGGGAUAGCCUUUCGAAAGAAAGAUUAAUACCCGAUAUAAUGGAUGGGGAUGCGUUCCAUUAGGUUGUUGGUGAGGUGACGGCCCACCAAGCCUUCGAUGGAUAGGGGUUCUGAGCGGAAUGUACCCCACAUUGGAACAGGGAAACGGGCCAAACUCCUACAGGAGGCAGCAGUGAGGAAGAUUGGUGAAUGAGCGGGAGCCUGAACCAGCCAAGUAGCGUGAAGGAUGAAGGCUUAUGGGUCGUAAACUUCUUUUAUAUAAGAAUAUGUAUUAUAUGAAUAAGGAUCGGCUAACUCCGAGCCAGCAGCCGCGGUAAUAC